UUGAUCCUGGCUCAGAAUCAACGCUGGCGGCGUGCCUAACACAUGCAAGUCGAACGCGAAAGCCCCGCAAGGGGCAAGUAGAGUGGCAAACGGGUGAGUUACACGUGGGUGACCUGCCUUCGAGCGGGGGAUAACGUCCCGAAAGGGACUCUAAUACCGCAUGACAUCCUGCCUUUGAAGAGGUGGAGAUCAAAGUUGGUGAUCGCAAGACCCAGCACUCGAAGAGGGGCCCGCGCCUGAUUAGCUAGUUGGUGGGGUAAUGGCUCACCAAGGCAACGAUCAGUAGCCGGCCUGAGAGGUCGGACGGCCACACUGGGACUGAGACACGGCCCAGACUCCUACGGGAGGCUGCAGUGGGGAAUUGUUCGCAAUGGGCGCAAGCCUGACGACGCAACGCCGUGUGGAGGACGAAGACCUUCGGGUCGUAAACUCCUUUCGAUCGAGACGAAUGGCCUCCGGGUCAAUAGCCCGGAGGAAUGGCGGUACCGAGAGAAGAAGCUCCGGCUAACUCCGUGCCAGCAGCCGCGGUAAUAAGGU
RNAcentral lists this ribosomal RNA (537 nucleotides) under uncultured Acidobacteriota bacterium. RNAcentral describes it as "bacterial SSU rRNA". It matches the Rfam family "Bacterial small subunit ribosomal RNA", at positions 13 to 529 of the family's 1533-position model. Lineage: Bacteria; Pseudomonadati; Acidobacteriota. The record is from RNAcentral.